UACGGAGGGUGCGAGCGUUGUCCGGAAUCACUGGGCGUAAAGGGCACGUAGGCGGCCGUGUAAGUCACUUGUGAAAUCCCGGGGCUCAACUCCGGGGCUGCAGGUGAGACUGCAUGGCUAGAGCUUGGUAGAGGCGAGUGGAAUUCCCGGUGUAGCGGUGGAAUGCGUAGAUAUCGGGAAGAACACCGGUGGCGAAGGCGGCUCGCUGGGCCAAUGCUGACGCUGAGGCGCGAAAGCGUGGGGAGCAAACAGG
Molecule: ribosomal RNA, 253 nt
Filed under: uncultured bacterium
Lineage: Bacteria
Description: partial 16S ribosomal RNA
Rfam family: Bacterial small subunit ribosomal RNA
Source: RNAcentral